Molecule: ribosomal RNA, 246 nt
Filed under: uncultured bacterium
Lineage: Bacteria
Description: partial 16S ribosomal RNA
Rfam family: Bacterial small subunit ribosomal RNA
Source: RNAcentral
AUACGGAGGGUGCGAGCGUUAUUCGGAAUUACUGGGCGUAAAGCGCGUGCAGGCGGCCUGUCAAGUCUGAUGUGAAAGCCCUGGGCUUAACCCGGGAAGUGCAUUGGAUACUGAUAGGCUUGAGUACUGGAGAGGAUGGGGGAAUUCCCGGUGUAGAGGUGAAAUUCGUAGAGAUCGGGAGGAAUACCAGUGGCGAAGGCGCCCCCUGGGUUAACACUGACGCUCAUGUACGAAAGCGUGGGGAGC